This 72-nucleotide transfer RNA is filed under the name Rhipicephalus microplus (southern cattle tick). RNAcentral's name for it is "tRNA-Arg". It matches the Rfam family "tRNA". Rfam says of the family: Transfer RNA (tRNA) molecules are approximately 80 nucleotides in length. Their secondary structure includes four short double-helical elements and three loops (D, anti-codon, and T loops). Lineage: Eukaryota; Metazoa; Arthropoda; Arachnida; Ixodida; Ixodidae. The record is from Rfam by way of RNAcentral.
GGUCUCAUGGUGUAAUGGUUAGCACUCUGGACUUCGAAUCCAGCGAUCUGAGUUCAAAUCUCGGUGAGACCU